GAUGAACGCUGGCGGCGUGCCUAAUACAUGCAAGUCGAGCGAACAGAUAAGGAGCUUGCUCCUUUGACGUUAGCGGCGGACGGGUGAGUAACACGUGGGUAACCUACCUAUAAGACUGGGAUAACUUCGGGAAACCGGAGCUAAUACCGGAUAACAUUUGGAGCCGCAUGGUUCUAAAGUGAAAGAUGGUUUGGCUAUCACUUAUAGAUGGACCCGCGCCGUAUUAGCUAGUUGGUAAGGUAACGGCUUACCAAGGCGACGAUACGUAGCCGACCUGAGAGGGUGAUCGGCCACACUGGAACUGAGACACGGUCCAGACUCCUACGGGAGGCAGCAGUAGGGAAUCUUCCGCAAUGGGCGAAAGCCUGACGGAGCAACGCCGCGUGAGUGAUGAAGGGUUUCGGCUCGUAAAACUCUGUUAUUAGGGAAGAACAAAUGUGUAAGUAACUGUGCACGUCUUGACGGUAGCAUAUGAAUAAGGAUCGGCUAACUCCGUGCCAGCCGCCGCAGUAA
This 513-nucleotide ribosomal RNA is filed under the name uncultured bacterium. RNAcentral describes it as "partial 16S ribosomal RNA". It matches the Rfam family "Bacterial small subunit ribosomal RNA", at positions 28 to 523 of the family's 1533-position model. The record is from RNAcentral.